RNAcentral lists this ribosomal RNA (81 nucleotides) under Myroides sp. WP-1. Lineage: Bacteria; Pseudomonadati; Bacteroidota; Flavobacteriia; Flavobacteriales; Flavobacteriaceae. The record is from RNAcentral.
CUUCCCAUUUCGAACAGAGAAGUUAAGCCCGCUAGCGCAGAUGGUACUGCCGUAAGGUGGGAGAGUAUGUCGUCGCCCUUC